This 731-nucleotide ribosomal RNA is filed under the name uncultured bacterium. RNAcentral's name for it is "bacterial SSU rRNA". It matches the Rfam family "Bacterial small subunit ribosomal RNA", at positions 771 to 1501 of the family's 1533-position model. The record is from RNAcentral.
AACAGGAUUAGAUACCCUGGUAGUCCAUGCCGUAAACGAUGUCAACUAGUUGUUCGUGUCAUUAAGACGUGAGUAACGCAGCUAACGCACUAAGUUGACCGCCUGGGGAGUACGGCCGCAAGGUUAAAACUCAAAUGAAUUGACGGGGGCCCGCACAAGCGGUGGAGCAUGUGGUUUAAUUCGAUGCAACGCGAAGAACCUUACCAUCCCUUGACAUCCAGUGAAUUUUCCAGAGAUGGAUUAGUGCCUUCGGGAACACUGAGACAGGUGCUGCAUGGCUGUCGUCAGCUCGUGUUGUGAGAUGUUGGGUUAAGUCCCGCAACGAGCGCAACCCUUAUCCUUAGUUGCCAGCGCGUCAUGGCGGGAACUCUGGGGAGACUGCCGGUGAUAAACCGGAGGAAGGUGGGGACGACGUCAAGUCAUCAUGGCCCUUACGGGAUGGGCUACACACGUGCUACAAUGGCGCAUACAAAGGGCAGCAAGCCAGCGAUGGUUAGCGAAUCUCAUAAAGUGCGUCGUAGUCCGGAUCGGAGUCUGCAACUCGACUCCGUGAAGUCGGAAUCGCUAGUAAUCGUGGAUCAGAAUGCCACGGUGAAUACGUUCCCGGGCCUUGUACACACCGCCCGUCACACCAUGGGAGUGGGCUGCACCAGAAGUGAUUAGUUUAACCUUCGGGAGAACGAUCACCACGGUGUGGUUCAUGACUGGGGUGAAGUCGUAACAAGGUAACC